Melitaea cinxia (Glanville fritillary) is the source of this 123-nucleotide long non-coding RNA. RefSeq lists it as uncharacterized. The record is from RefSeq and is a predicted model, not a curated record. NCBI's taxonomy places the organism in Eukaryota, Metazoa, Arthropoda, Insecta, Lepidoptera, Nymphalidae. The transcript has 2 exons.
AGGCCUAUGUCCAGCAGUGGACUGCGAUAGGCUGAAUGGUAUAUUUAUUACUUUAUCUGUAAAUUAUUAGGUAUUUGUAAACUGGCGUUGAAAUCGGAAAUAUAAUAAUUUUGAUGUAAACGA